CAGUCGCCACGGUAAUACGUAGGGUGCAAGCGUUAAUCGGAAUUACUGGGCGUAAAGCGUGCGCAGGCGGUCCGCUAAGACAGAUGUGAAAUCCCCGGGCUUAACCUGGGAACUGCAUUUGUGACUGGCGGGCUAGAGUAUGGCAGAGGGGGGUAGAAUUCCACGUGUAGCAGUGAAAUGCGUAGAGAUGUGGAGGAAUACCGAUGGCGAAGGCAGCCCCCUGGGCCAAUACUGACGCUCAUGCACGAAAGCGUUGGGAGCAAACAGGAUUAGAUACCCCUGUAGUCCCUGUCUCUUAUAA
Molecule: ribosomal RNA, 301 nt
Filed under: uncultured bacterium
Lineage: Bacteria
Description: partial 16S ribosomal RNA
Rfam family: Bacterial small subunit ribosomal RNA
Source: RNAcentral